AGCGGGAUGGGAUAGCCAGACAUUCCAGCGGGUUCAUAUCCCGCAGAUCGGUGGUUCGAAUCCACCUCCCGCUA
Halococcus saccharolyticus DSM 5350 is the source of this 74-nucleotide transfer RNA. It matches the Rfam family "tRNA". From Rfam's summary of the family: Transfer RNA (tRNA) molecules are approximately 80 nucleotides in length. Their secondary structure includes four short double-helical elements and three loops (D, anti-codon, and T loops). NCBI's taxonomy places the organism in Archaea, Methanobacteriati, Methanobacteriota, Halobacteria, Halobacteriales, Halococcaceae. The record is from Rfam.